UUUAAAAGCUUUAAAUAAACUCUUAAUUGAUUAUGUUUCCCAAAGCGACAUUCUGUGGUUUCUGGGGGGGGAAAGCAUUAUUCUCAAUUCCUCGGUGGGCCUUCAGAAGUGCAGAGCUUUUCAAGAGAGUGAAGGAUUACACAUUUGUGUUUCAAAAGAUGCCAUCCCUCUGCCCCCCUCCCUUUUGCCUGCCAAAAAAUAAAAAUAAAAAUAAAAAAAAUCCCUGCUGCCAGUUCCAUUCCUCAUGCUCUUCACUUUGCUCAGCUCCAGUUCCAACUCACUGUGCCAAACGCUCUCCUUUUCUUUCAGGCUUUCUUUUUCUUCGGCUUUUCCCUUUAAAAAAGAAGUAAAAACAAGUGUGUGUUGCCAUGGCAAUAAUGUGAAAAUGAGCCAUUGGUGUUGAUUUGAGUCUGUCCAAACUUUUUUUUUUAAAGGCCUUUAAAGAACAGGAAGGAGAACAGAGAGGGAGAUAGGAGAGAGAGAGAGGGAGAGGGAGAGAGAGAUGAAAAGUGGGGCAAAAUCGCUGGAAAUGCAUUUGGGCUGACAUAAUUCCUCUUUCCCACAGUGGUCAUUCACUUGGGAGGCUCCAAUGUCCAUUCACUGUCUUAAAGCUAGCUUUUCAGAGCCUGGGGAGGCCAUCUUUCGCUGCCUGAAUGCCUUUUUUGUUGCUAAACAGUGAACUGUUUCUGAAGCCCAGCAUAAAGGAGGUGAGUAAUUCAUUGCAGUUGCCAGGAAGUCUGAGCCACUUGUGAGCUAACAAUAGUAAACUUUAUCUCCCACCCUGAGCCGAAGGUUCCAGCUGAAGAUCCAGAAUUCUAAUAAGGGCCUUUUACUCUCUCAUGCCUCCGAGGUUAUGGUAAUAGUUUAGACAUCUUUUUUCAUUAGGACGCAGCCAUAGCUACAACCACGGCAGUCGAGGCAAGCAACUGCGUGGAAUGAAGCUGGGGAGAGGUGGGAUUAAAAGGGAAACGCAGAAAAAUAACUUUAAACCAAUUCAUAAACUAAGAACGUAUACAUUGACCACUAAUAAUGAAACAUAUGUUUUCCAUAUUUGUUAUGCUAUUUUUGUGAUAUACAAAUGACGUGAGAAAACUUGGUAUACUUCUUUGUAUAACAUUAUUCUUGUUUAUAAAACCCAAUUUUUAAAAAUUGCCUGUUUCAUAUGAAAUAGAAAACCUGUGUUGAAAGGAAUGCGUUCUAAGCCUCUGAGACAAUGGAGAUCUACCCCACCCACAGUGUUUGAAAAAAGAGCAUCUCAUGUGAAGCUUGCCUUCCUUCCCACCUCCCCUGGCUUUGAACAGGAAGGACAACUUGGUGCUAAAGAACACAGAGUGACUCAUGAGCAACAGCGAUGACUCUGUUUGGGCUUCCCUUUGAAACCGAAUUUGGGUGUCAACAGCAGAAGGGCUGAGAAGACUUCUGCACGAUGACAGCCGCUCUAAAUGUAUGUAGGAAUGACACACAGGCAUGUGAUUCAUGCAUCAGGACACCAAAUGCAGAAAACGAUGAGUGCUUUGAAAGAAGACACAGAACAGAACACCAUUUUUUCCUAGCUUAUUAGGAGUUUGCCCAGGAAUGAAGAGCGCUAGCUUCAUGGCAGGGACAGAGCCACAGGAGCUACUUUGUGGGCUCAUGUGUGGCAUGCUGAAAACAACCACCUAUUUAUCCUUUUUGAAAUUCGCCAGCCAGCAAGAUGUGUGGGUGGGUGUGCGUGUGGGUGUUUCAGUGUGUCUGCUGAAAUUUUCUUGCUGGGUCAGAAAGGCAGACCUAUUCAGAGAGCUCUUCCAUGCCUUUGGCUAGGGCUCCAUCCUCCCCAUGGUGCCUUGAGAGAAAGCUUCAAAAAUGCCUGGAUGGAUACAAAGCUGGGCAGCUCUGCAACAUCCACUUAGCGUGCUAUAAACUAAGGGGGAGGGAAGGGGGAAAAUGGAUUCAAAUGUGAAUACAAAUAAGAAAUGAGUUUUGAUCUGAAAACUGAGACAAAGACAUUUGUGCUCUGUUGGCAUUCCUUGUACAAGGCAACAGUGUGCCCUUGAGCUGCGGAGGAUUUUUGCUGAUGCCUGUGAUGUGAAUCAGAUCACUGUGUGGCCUGUCCAUUUUUAUGUAUGUUCAAGCACUGGAGGGUGUCAGGGAGAAGAGGCACCUGGAAAAGGACCCCCUCUGCCCUCUCUAGUAAGGAACAAGUGAGGUCACACUAUCCCUAGAUGUCAUAAAAUGCUGUUUGCUAACUGCUAGAAAUUUGGUCAACUUGCCCCCACAGCACUUCCUCCCUCACAUAAUUUCCCUCAUGCUACUCUAGAGGACAAGUCAGCAUGGUCUAUUAACCUCUCUUUGAGUGGGCUGUCUGUGUGGUUGAACGUCAAAAAUCCUGUAGGAUGCUUUUAUAGGAAUGCUGUUCUCCUAUCCAACAGUCUCCCCUGGUUUGGGGGUUCCAUUAGUGCAAAUCUAUAUAAAAAAGUAAGCCCUACUGAGUUCAAUGGGACUUUCUUCAAGAAAACUGCAUCUGAUUGCAGCUUAGAUUUUCUAGUCUUGUUCAUGGAGUGCCCCUAAAAAUUUACCAAUCUGCUAUGCUUCCAUUUUUAAACCCCCCCCCCCACUAUGCAGACAUCAUUGUGCAUAAACAUUUUGUCAUUGUUUUUGGGGCUUUUCAUUCAUUGGUCCCUACUCACCAUUGCAUCAAGAUGCCUUUGUGCAAAAUAUUGCAUGUAUGUACAGACAUUCUUGUGCACAUUGGCAACCUAGACGGACAGCUGAGGCAAACUGCACAUGCUUGUACCACUUCCAGAAAUUUUUAAUUUUUUUUUACAGGAGAUGGUUCUGUCAGGCAAGCAGAAAUACUUGUGCUGAUGGAGCCAUUGCCUUAGUGCUGUGUUGAAUAUAACACCAUAACUUUACAUAAGGCAACAAAACAGGAAGCAGAUAUUAGGGUCAUGAUGGGCAGCAUAAGGGAAAUUCAGAUAUGCGGUCCCCUGGGGGGGGGGGAAUCCAUGCUUUGGAUCAUCAGGAAAGGAACUGGAAACGAAACUAGUGGUAUCAUAAUGCUCAUAAAUAAAAUUAAGGUUGGCGUCACAAAACCCCGUGAAUGGAUGGAUCUGCCUGAAAUUUGGCAGGCUUCACCCACUCUGGAGGGCUCCUUUGCCUGCAAAUUUCAUCCAGUUAUGUGAAAAGCAGAAAUAUUUUUAGAUUUCCCAUUAUAGACAAAAAAAAGAGCUUUGGAUUAACAUAUCAGAGUUGGACCAAACUGAAAUGACACAGACAGGAUCCAAAAAUGUUUGGGCUGCUUUCCAAAUGCUACAGAUGCAAUGCAAAUCAUGUGGUUGCUGUGCCCCCUCCAUAGAAUGUACUACAGAAGACAGGCCAAAGUCUGGGGUCUGCGGGAGACUCUUUCCAUGAUGUAGUAUUUGUUUAUUAAUCGUGAAAUGACUCCAAAGCCUUUCUAUCUAUUUCAUGAGAACUAAAUGGAAAAAUUGAUUGGGUCAAUAUGGUCUAUACUGGUAUUCAGAAGCAUUAUGCUUGUAGGAUUCCCACAGGCAUCUGGUUGGCCACUGUGAGAACAGGAUGCUGGUCUAGUUAUGCCAUUGGCCUGAUCCAGGAGACUUUCCUUGCAUUCUUAGCCAGCUGGGCAUUCAAGGUUUGUACUAGUGCUGCACUUGAUCUGGAGUAGGAGGCCUGAAGCUGAAUGCAAGGAAUUGUUUCCAGCCAAUCAUUCCCAGUGAAAAUAGCGAUCAUAUAUGCUGAUAGCCAAUGCAAAGUAACACCUUCCAAAAUCAGGAGGCGAUUCUAUGAUUCUCAAUACGCUAUAAUUGUUGAAAGGUGUUUUUAACAUACACAGAAAGCUACCUGUACAUAUGCAUAGUGUGUAUCUAUAUGAAAGUAUGGUGAUAAAUAUAUAUGUAUAUACAGUGGUACCUCGGUUUUUGAAAAUCUCCGUUGACAAACAUUUCGGUUUUCGAACGCCGUAAGUCGAACAUGCCAUGCGGCUUCUCCUGAGUGUAAGAUCCUCAGGCCUAGCUGUCGGCUAUUGAGUUUUUGGUUUUUGAAUGUUUCAGAAUUCGAAUGGUCUUCCGGAACGGAUUACGUUAAAAAACCGAGGUACCAUUGUAGUUUUUUUGAGCAAGAACUUGGAGGAACUGCCUUCUCUUCCCUUUAAUAAAAUUAAAUAAUCAUAUUUUUUUGUGUCUGUGGCGGCUGAAAUGGAUAUACACCCAAUGCCUGAGCCCAAAAUCCCCCUAUAUCUGCAAUCAAUAAAGUUGUGACCAUUUCUAAUCC
This 4266-nucleotide long non-coding RNA is filed under the name Podarcis lilfordi (Lilford's wall lizard). The record is from RNAcentral. Lineage: Eukaryota; Metazoa; Chordata; Lepidosauria; Squamata; Lacertidae.